RNAcentral lists this ribosomal RNA (253 nucleotides) under uncultured bacterium. RNAcentral's name for it is "partial 16S ribosomal RNA". It matches the Rfam family "Bacterial small subunit ribosomal RNA", at positions 524 to 776 of the family's 1533-position model. The record is from RNAcentral.
GACGAACCGUGCGAACGUUGUUCGGAAUCACUGGGCUUAAAGGGCGCGUAGGCGGGUGUGCAAGUCUGCGGUGAAAGCCUCCAGCUUAACUGGAGAAGUGCCGUGGAUACUGCUCAUCUCGAGGAGGGUAGGGGCAUCUGGAACGUUGGGUGGAGCGGUGAAAUGCGUUGAUAUCCAACGGAACUCCGGUGGCGAAGGCGAGGUGCUGGACCCUUUCUGACGCUGAAGCGCGAAAGCCAGGGGAGCGAACGGG